AAGGGAUGCCUCAGGUUAACGGCGAGUGAAGCGGCAAAAGCUCAAAUUUGAAAUCUAGCACUUUCAGUGUUCGAGUUGUAAUUUGAAGAAGGUAACUUUGGUUUUGGCUCUUGUCUAUGUUCCUUGGAACAGGACGUCACAGAGGGUGAGAAUCCCGUGCGAUGAGAUGCCCAAUUCCAUGUAAAGUGCUUUCGAAGAGUCGAGUUGUUUGGGAAUGCAGCUCUAAGUGGGUGGUAAAUUCCAUCUAAAGCUAAAUAUUGGCGAGAGACCGAUAGCGAACAAGUACAGUGAUGGAAAGAUGAAAAGAACUUUGAAAAGAGAGUGAAAAAGUACGUGAAAUUGUUGAAAGGGAAGGGCUUGAGAUCAGACUUGGUAUUUUGCGUUCCCUUCCUUUUUGGUUGGGUUCCUCGCAGUUUACUGGGCCAGCAUCGGUUUGGAUGGUAGGAUAAUGACAUUGGAAUGUAGCUUUACUUCGGUGAAGUGUUAUAGACUUUGUUGAUACUGCCUAUCUAGACCGAGGACUGCGUCUUUGACUAGGAUGCUGGCGUAAUGAUCUUAAGCCGCCCGUCUUGAGA
RNAcentral lists this ribosomal RNA (575 nucleotides) under Dujonia zeylanoides. RNAcentral's name for it is "[Candida] zeylanoides partial large subunit ribosomal RNA". It matches the Rfam family "Eukaryotic large subunit ribosomal RNA", at positions 70 to 659 of the family's 3401-position model. Lineage: Eukaryota; Fungi; Ascomycota; Pichiomycetes; Serinales; Debaryomycetaceae. The record is from RNAcentral.